GACGAACGCUGGCGGCGUGCUUAACACAUGCAAGUCGAACGGAAAGGCCCCUUUGGGGGUACUCGAGUGGCGAACGGGUGAGUAACACGUGAGUAACCUGCCCUUGACUUCGGGAUAACUUCAGGAAACUGGGGCUAAUACCGGAUAGGAAUCCUUGCUGCAUGGUGGGGGUUGGAAAGCUUCGGCGGUUUUGGAUGGACUCGCGGCUUAUCAGCUUGUUGGUGGGGUAGUGGCUUACCAAGGCUUUGACGGGUAGCCGGCCUGAGAGGGCGACCGGCCACAUUGAGACUGAGAUACGGCCCAGACGCCUACGGGAGGCUGAAGUGGGGAAGAUUGCACAAGGGGCGGAAGCCUGAUGCAGCAACGCCGCGUGCGGGAGGACGGCCUUCGGGUUGUAAACCGCUUUCAGCAGGAGCGAAGCUUGUGGUGACGGUACCUGCAGAAGAAGCACCGGCUAACUACGUG
Molecule: ribosomal RNA, 465 nt
Filed under: uncultured bacterium
Lineage: Bacteria
Description: partial 16S ribosomal RNA
Rfam family: Bacterial small subunit ribosomal RNA
Source: RNAcentral